AGCCUUUCGGGGUGGAUUAGUGGCGAACGGGUGAGUAACACGUGGGCAAUCUGCCCUUCACUCUGGGACAAGCCCUGGAAACGGGGUCUAAUACCGGAUAACACUCUGUCCUGCAUGGGACGGGGUUAAAAGCUCCGGCGGUGAAGGAUGAGCCCGCGGCCUAUCAGCUUGUUGGUGGGGUAAUGGCCUACCAAGGCGACGACGGGUAGCCGGCCUGAGAGGGCGACCGGCCACACUGGGACUGAGACACGGCCCAGACUCCUACGGGAGGCAGCAGUGGGGAAUAUUGCACAAUGGGCGAAAGCCUGAUGCAGCGACGCCGCGUGAGGGAUGACGGCCUUCGGGUUGUAAACCUCUUUCAGCAGGGAAGAAGCGAAAGUGACGGUACCUGCAGAAGAAGCGCCGGCUAACUACGUGCCAGCAGCCGCGGUAAUACGUAGGGCGCAAGCGUUGUCCGGAAUUAUUGGGCGUAAAGAGCUCGUAGGCGGCUUGUCACGUCGGAUGUGAAAGCCCGGGGCUUAACCCCGGGUCUGCAUUCGAUACGGGCUAGCUAGAGUGUGGUAGGGGAGAUCGGAAUUCCUGGUGUAGCGGUGAAAUGCGCAGAUAUCAGGAGGAACACCGGUGGCGAAGGCGGAUCUCUGGGCCAUUACUGACGCUGAG
Molecule: ribosomal RNA, 660 nt
Filed under: Streptomyces microflavus
Lineage: Bacteria; Bacillati; Actinomycetota; Actinomycetes; Kitasatosporales; Streptomycetaceae
Description: bacterial SSU rRNA
Rfam family: Bacterial small subunit ribosomal RNA
Source: RNAcentral